CCCUUAUCAUUAGUUGCUACGCAAGGGCACUCUAAUGAGACUGCCGGUGACAAACCGGAGGAAGGUGGGGAUGACGUCAAGUCCUCAUGGCCCUUAUGGGUAGGGCUUCACACGUCAUACAAUGGUCGGUACAGAGGGUUGCCAAGCCGCGAGGCGGAGCCAAUCCCACAAAGCCGAUCGUAGUCCGGAUUGUUCUCUGCAACUCGAGAGCAUGAAGUCGGAAUCGCUAGUAAUCGCAGGUCAGCAUACUGCGGCGAAUACGUUCCCGGGUCUU
RNAcentral lists this ribosomal RNA (274 nucleotides) under uncultured Thiobacillus sp. RNAcentral describes it as "partial 16S ribosomal RNA". It matches the Rfam family "Bacterial small subunit ribosomal RNA", at positions 1102 to 1382 of the family's 1533-position model. Lineage: Bacteria; Pseudomonadati; Pseudomonadota; Betaproteobacteria; Nitrosomonadales; Thiobacillaceae. The record is from RNAcentral.